UGGGGAAUAUUGGGCAAUGGGCGAAAGCCUGACCCAGCAACGCCGCGUGAAGGAAGAAGGCUUUCGGGUUGUAAACUUCUUUGACGAGGGACGAAAAAAAUGACGGUACCUCGAAAACAAGCCACGGCUAACUACGUGCCAGCAGCCGCGGUAAUACGUAGGUGGCAAGCGUUAUCCGGAUUUACUGGGUGUAAAGGGCGCGUAGGCGGGAUUGCAAGUCAGAUGUGAAAUGCGGGGGCUUAACCUCCGAACUGCAUUUGAAACUGUGAUUCUUGAGUACCGGAGAGGCAGGCGGAAUUCCUAGUGUAGCGGUGAAAUGCGUAGAUAUUAGGAGGAACACCAGUGGCGAAGGCGGCCUGCUGGACGACAACUGACGCUGAGGCGCGAAAGCGUGGGGAGCAAACAGG
This 407-nucleotide ribosomal RNA is filed under the name uncultured bacterium. RNAcentral describes it as "bacterial SSU rRNA". It matches the Rfam family "Bacterial small subunit ribosomal RNA", at positions 355 to 776 of the family's 1533-position model. The record is from RNAcentral.